RNAcentral lists this ribosomal RNA (496 nucleotides) under uncultured bacterium. RNAcentral describes it as "partial 16S ribosomal RNA". It matches the Rfam family "Bacterial small subunit ribosomal RNA", at positions 29 to 507 of the family's 1533-position model. The record is from RNAcentral.
AUGCACGCUGGCGGCGUGCCUAAUACAUGCCAGUCGAGCGAACAGAUGAGGAGCUUGCUCCUCUGACGUUAGCGGCGGACGGGUGAGUAACACGUGGAUAACCUACCUAUAAGACUGGGAUAACUUCGGGAAACCGGAGCUAAUACCGGAUAAUAUAUUGAACCGCAUGGUUCAAUAGUGAAAGACGGUUUUGCUGUCACUUAUAGAUGGAUCCGCGCCGCAUUAGCUAGUUGGUAAGGUAACGGCUUACCAAGGCAACGAUGCGGAGCCGACCUGAGAGGGUGGUCAGCCACACUGGAACUGAAACACGGUCCAGGCUCCUACGGGAGGCAGCAGUAGGGAAUCUUCCGCAAUGGGCGGAAGCCUGACGGAGCAACGCCGCGUGAGUGAUGAAGGUCUUCGGAUCGUAAAACUCUGUUAUUAGGGAAGAACAAAUGUGUAAGUAACUAUGCACGUCUUGACGGUACCUAAUCAGAAAGCCACGGCUAACUACGUG